RNAcentral lists this ribosomal RNA (984 nucleotides) under mouse gut metagenome. RNAcentral describes it as "bacterial LSU rRNA". It matches the Rfam family "Bacterial large subunit ribosomal RNA", at positions 1942 to 2925 of the family's 2925-position model. The record is from RNAcentral.
AUAACGGUCCUAAGGUAGCGAAAUUCCUUGUCGGGUAAGUUCCGACCCGCACGAAUGGCGUAAUGAUUUGGGCGCUGUCUCAACAGUGGACCCGGCGAAAUUGUAGUAUAUGUGAAGAUGCAUAUUACCCGCGACUGGACGGAAAGACCCCGUAGAGCUUUACUGUAACUUGAUAUUGGAUUUCGGUAAUUGAUGUACAGGAUAGGUGGGAGACUGAGAAGCAAAGGCGUCAGCUUUUGUGGAGUCGCCCUUUGGAUACCACCCUUUGAUUAUUGGAAUUCUAACCUUGUGCCGUUAUCCGGGCAAGGGACAGUGUCAGGUGGACAGUUUGACUGGGGCGGUCGCCUCCUAAAGAGUAACGGAGGCGUUCAAAGGUUCCCUCAGAACGGUUGGAAAUCGUUCGUAGAGUGUAAAGGUAUAAGGGAGCUUGACUGAGAGACAGACAUGUCGACCAGAUACGAAAGUAGGACUUAGUGAUCCGGCGGUAGAGAAUGGAAUUGCCGUCGCUUAACGGAUAAAAGUUACCUCGGGGAUAACAGGCUUAUCUCCCCCAAGAGUUCACAUCGACGGGGAGGUUUGGCACCUCGAUGUCGGCUCAUCGCAUCCUGGAGCGGAAGUACGUUCCAAGGGUUGGGCUGUUCGCCCAUUAAAGCGGUACGCGAGCUGGGUUCAGAACGUCGUGAGACAGUUCGGUCCUUAUCUGUCGCAGGCGCAGGAUAUUUGAAGGGAGCUGUCCUUAGUACGAGAGGACCAGGAUGGACAUACCGAUGGUGUAUCAGUUGUCACACCAGUGGCACGGCUGAGUAGCUAAGUAUGGACGGGAUAAACGCUGAAAGCAUCUAAGUGUGAAGCCCACCCUAAGAUAAGAUAUCCCAUAUCGUAAGAUAGUAAGAUUCCAGGAAGACGACCUGGUUGAUAGGAUGGAGGUAGAAGUGUAGUGAUACAUGUAGCUGACCAUUACUAAUAGAUCGAGGGCUUAACCAC